RNAcentral lists this ribosomal RNA (838 nucleotides) under uncultured bacterium. Its description in RNAcentral is "bacterial SSU rRNA". It matches the Rfam family "Bacterial small subunit ribosomal RNA", at positions 66 to 901 of the family's 1533-position model. The record is from RNAcentral.
GGCAGCACGAUGUAGCAAUACAUUGGUGGCGACCGGCGCACGGGUGAGUAACGCGUAUGCAACCUACCUAUCAGAGGGGAAUAACCCGGCGAAAGUCGGACUAAUACCGCAUAAAACAGGGGUUCCACAUGGAAAUAUUUGUUAAAGAAUUAUCGCUGAUAGAUGGGCAUGCGUUCCAUUAGAUAGUUGGUGAGGUAACGGCUCACCAAGUCCACGAUGGAUAGGGGUUCUGAGAGGAAGGUCCCCCACACUGGUACUGAGACACGGACCAGACUCCUACGGGAGGCAGCAGUGAGGAAUAUUGGUCAAUGGGCGAGAGCCUGAACCAGCCAAGUCGCGUGAAGGAUGAAGGAUCUAUGGUUUGUAAACUUCUUUUAUAUGGGAAUAAAGUGAGGAACGUGUUCCUUUUUGUAUGUACCAUAUGAAUAAGCAUCGGCUAACUCCGUGCCAGCAGCCGCGGUAAUACGGAGGAUGCGAGCGUUAUCCGGAUUUAUUGGGUUUAAAGGGUGCGUAGGUGGUUAAUUAAGUCAGCGGUGAAAGUUUGUGGCUCAACCAUAAAAUUGCCGUUGAAACUGGUUGACUUGAGUAUAUUUGAGGUAGGCGGAAUGCGUGGUGUAGCGGUGAAAUGCAUAGAUAUCACGCAGAACUCCGAUUGCGAAGGCAGCUUACUGAACUAUAACUGACACUGAAGCACGAAAGCGUGGGGAUCAAACAGGAUUAGAUACCCUGGUAGUCCACGCAGUAAACGAUGAUUACUAGCUGUUUGCGAUACACAGUAAGCGGCACAGCGAAAGCGUUAAGUAAUCCACCUGGGGAGUACGCCGGCAACGGUGAAACU